ACGACGCUGGCGGCGUGCUUAACACAUGCAAGUCGAACGAAGCAGCAGUGAAGGAGGCUUCGGCCAAUGGAUCUGUUGACUUAGUGGCGGACGGGUGAGUAACGCGUGAGCAACCUGCCUUUCAGAGGGGGAUAACGUUUGGAAACGAACGCUAAUACCGCAUGAUGUAUCUUUGCUGCAUGACAGAGGUACCAAAGGAGCAAUCCGCUGAAAGAUGGGCUCGCGUCCGAUUAGAUAGUUGGUGGGGUAACGGCCUACCCAAGUCGACGAUCGGUAGCCGGACUGAGAGGUUGAACGGCCACAUUGGGACUGAGACACGGCCCAGACUCCUACGGGAGGCAGCAGUGGGGAAUAUUGCACAAUGGGCGAAAGCCUGAUGCAGCAACGCCGCGUGAGGGAAGACGGUUUUCGGAUUGUAAACCUUUGUCCUUGGUGAAGAUAGUGACGGUAGCCGAGGAAGGAAGCCACGGCUAACUACGUGCCAGCCGCGGC
Molecule: ribosomal RNA, 492 nt
Filed under: uncultured bacterium
Lineage: Bacteria
Description: bacterial SSU rRNA
Rfam family: Bacterial small subunit ribosomal RNA
Source: RNAcentral